UCGAGAAUAUUCCACAAUGGACGAAAGUCUGAUGGAGCGACGCCGCGUGCAGGAUGAAGGCCUUAGGGUCGUAAACUGCGGUAGUACAGCAGCAAUGCAAAUGAGCGCUGUACGGAAAGAGGUGGGUAACUACGUGCCAGCACCAGCGGUAAUACGUAGACCUCAAGCGUUAUCCGGAUUUAUUGGGCGUAAAGCGCGUGUAGGCGGGUCGUUAAGUUGGGGGUGAAAUCCCGAGGCUCAACCUCGGAACUGCCUCCAAAACUGGCGACCUGGAGCAAGAUAGAGGCGAGUGGAAUUCCGAGUGUAGAGGUGAAAUUCGUAGAUAUUCGGAGGAACACCAGUGGCGAAGGCGACUCGCUGGAUCUUUGCUGACGCUGAGACGCGAAAGCGUGGGGAGCAAACAGGAUUAGAUACCCAGGUAGUCCCUGAGCGGGCUGGCAAGGCGCAU
This 448-nucleotide ribosomal RNA is filed under the name uncultured bacterium. Its description in RNAcentral is "bacterial SSU rRNA". It matches the Rfam family "Bacterial small subunit ribosomal RNA", at positions 355 to 825 of the family's 1533-position model. The record is from RNAcentral.